GUUGUAUGGUUAAGUGACUAAGCGUACACGGUGGAUGCCUUGGCAGUCAGAGGCGAUGAAAGACGUAGUAACUUGCGAUAAGCCCAGAUUAGGUAGUAACAACCAUUUGAGUCUGGGAUUUCUGAAUGGGGAAACCCACGUGCAUAAGCACGUAUCCUUACCUGAAUACAUAGGGUAAGGAGGCGAACCGGGGGAACUGAAACAUCUAAGUACCCCGAGGAAAAGAAAUCAACCGAGAUUCCGAAAGUAGCGGCGAGCGAAAUUGGACUAGCCCUUAAGCUUUACACGCGUUAGACGAACGGUCUGGAAAGUCCGACGAUACAGGGUGAUAGUCCCGUAGUUGACGACGUGUGUUCAGUGAAAUCGAGUAGGGCGGGACACGUGAUAUCCUGUCUGAAUAUGGGGGGACCAUCCUCCAAGGCUAAAUACUACUGACUGACCGAUAGUGAACCAGUACCGUGAGGGAAAGGCGAAAAGAACCCCUGUGAGGGGAGUGAAAUAGAACCUGAAACCGUGUACGUACAAGCAGUAGGAGCAGGCUUUGUCCUGUGACUGCGUACCUUUUGUAUAAUGGGUCAGCGACUUAUAUUCAGUGGCAAGGUUAACCAUCUAGGGGAGCCGUAGGGAAACCGAGUCUUAACUGGGCGUUCAGUCUCUGGAUAUAGACCCGAAACCAGGUGAUCUAGCCAUGGGCAGGUUGAAGGUUGAGUAACAUCAACUGGAGGACCGAACCGACUAAUGUUGAAAAAUUAGCGGAUGACUUGUGGCUAGGGGUGAAAGGCCAAUCAAACCUGGAGAUAGCUGGUUCUCCCCGAAAGCUAUUUAGGUAGCGCCUCGGACGAAUACUACUGGGGGUAGAGCACUGUUAAGGCUAGGGGGUCAUCCCGACUUACCAACCCUUUGCAAACUCCGAAUACCAGUAAGUACUAUCCGGGAGACACACGGCGGGUGCUAACGUCCGUCGUGGAGAGGGAAACAACCCAGACCGCCAGCUAAGGUCCCAAAUUACUACUAAGUGGGAAACGAUGUGGGAAGGCUCAGACAGCCAGGAUGUUGGCUUAGAAGCAGCCAUCAUUUAAAGAAAGCGUAAUAGCUCACUGGUCGAGUCGGCCUGCGCGGAAGAUGUAACGGGGCUAAGUAGUAAACCGAAGCUGCGGCAAUACUCUUUGAGUAUUGGGUAGGGGAGCGUUCUGUAAGCGGUUGAAGGUGUGUGGUAACGCAUGCUGGACGUAUCAGAAGUGCGAAUGCUGACAUGAGUAACGAUAAAGGGGGUGAAAAACCUCCUCGCCGGAAGACCAAGGGUUCCUGUCCAACGUUAAUCGGGGCAGGGUAAGUCGACCCCUAAGGCGAGGCCGAAAGGCGUAGUCGAUGGGAAACGGGUUAAUAUUCCCGUACUUCUUACAAUUGCGAUGGGGGGACGGAGAAGGCUAGGUGGGCCUGGCGACGGUUGUCCAGGUUCAAGUGCGUAGGCUUGAGAGUUAGGUAAAUCCGGCUCUCUCUAAGGCUGAGACACGACGUCGAGCACCUACGGGUGUGAAGUCAUUGAUGCCAUGCUUCCAGGAAAAGCCUCUAAGCUUCAGAUUGUAAGGAAUCGUACCCCAAACCGACACAGGUGGUCGGGUAGAGAAUACCAAGGCGCUUGAGAGAACUCGGGUGAAGGAACUAGGCAAAAUGGUACCGUAACUUCGGGAGAAGGUACGCUCUUGAUGGUGAAGUCCCUCGCGGAUGGAGCUGACGAGAGUCGCAGAUACCAGGUGGCUGCAACUGUUUAUUAAAAACACAGCACUGUGCAAAAUCGUAAGAUGACGUAUACGGUGUGACGCCUGCCCGGUGCCGGAAGGUUAAUUGAUGGGGUUAGACUUCGGUCGAAGCUCUUGAUCGAAGCCCCGGUAAACGGCGGCCGUAACUAUAACGGUCCUAAGGUAGCGAAAUUCCUUGUCGGGUAAGUUCCGACCUGCACGAAUGGCGUAAUGAUGGCCACGCUGUCUCCACCCGAGACUCAGUGAAAUUGAAAUCGCUGUGAAGAUGCAGUGUACCCGCGGCUAGACGGAAAGACCCCGUGAACCUUUACUACAGCUUGGCACUGAACAUUGACCCUACAUGUGUAGGAUAGGUGGGAGGCUUUGAAGCACGUACGCCAGUAUGUGUGGAGCCGUCCUUGAAAUACCACCCUUGUAGUGUUGAUGUUCUAACGUCGACCCCUAAUCGGGGUUGCGGACAGUGCCUGGUGGGUAGUUUGACUGGGGCGGUCUCCUCCCAAAGAGUAACGGAGGAGCACGAAGGUGGGCUAAUCACGGUUGGACAUCGUGAGGUUAGUGCAAUGGCAUAAGCCCGCUUGACUGCGAGAAUGACAAUUCGAGCAGGUGCGAAAGCAGGUCAUAGUGAUCCGGUGGUUCUGAAUGGAAGGGCCAUCGCUCAACGGAUAAAAGGUACUCCGGGGAUAACAGGCUGAUACCGCCCAAGAGUUCAUAUCGACGGCGGUGUUUGGCACCUCGAUGUCGGCUCAUCACAUCCUGGGGCUGAAGUCGGUCCCAAGGGUAUGGCUGUUCGCCAUUUAAAGUGGUACGCGAGCUGGGUUUAGAACGUCGUGAGACAGUUCGGUCCCUAUCUGCCGUGGGCGUUGGAAGAUUGAAGGGGGCUGCUCCUAGUACGAGAGGACCGGAGUGGACGAACCUCUGGUGUUCGGGUUGUGUCGCCAGACGCAUUGCCCGGUAGCUAAGUUCGGAAUCGAUAACCGCUGAAAGCAUCUAAGCGGGAAGCGAGCCCUGAGAUGAGUCUUCCCUGAUACUUUAAGUAUCCUAAAGGGUUGUCGGAGACUACGACGUUGAUAGGUCAGGUGUGUAAGUGCUGUGAGGCAUUGAGCUAACUGAUACUAAUUGCCCGUGAGGCUUAACCAUACAACACCCAAGGGGUUU
RNAcentral lists this ribosomal RNA (2915 nucleotides) under Vibrio parahaemolyticus. RNAcentral describes it as "bacterial LSU rRNA". It matches the Rfam family "Bacterial large subunit ribosomal RNA". The record is from RNAcentral. Lineage: Bacteria; Pseudomonadati; Pseudomonadota; Gammaproteobacteria; Vibrionales; Vibrionaceae.